ACGAAGGGGGCAAGCGUUGUUCGGAAUUACUGGGCGUAAAGGGCGCGUAGGCGGCUUAUCAAGUCAGGCGUGAAAUUCCCGGGCUCAACCUGGGAACUGCAUCCAAAACUACUGGGCUAGAGUAUGGUAGAGGGUGGUGGAAUUUCCUGUGUAGCGGUGAAAUGCGUAGAUAUAGGAAGGAACACCAGUGGCGAAGGCGACCACCUGGACUAAUACUGACACUGAGGCGCGAAAGCUAGGGGAGCAAACGGGA
This 253-nucleotide ribosomal RNA is filed under the name uncultured prokaryote. Its description in RNAcentral is "partial 16S ribosomal RNA". It matches the Rfam family "Bacterial small subunit ribosomal RNA", at positions 525 to 777 of the family's 1533-position model. The record is from RNAcentral.